Molecule: ribosomal RNA, 252 nt
Filed under: uncultured prokaryote
Description: partial 16S ribosomal RNA
Rfam family: Bacterial small subunit ribosomal RNA
Source: RNAcentral
AUACGGGGGGGGCAAGCGUUGUUCGGAAUUACUGGGCGUAAAGGGCUCGUAGGUGGCCAAUUAAGUCAGACGUGAAAUCCCCAGGCUCAACUUGGGAACUGCGUCUGAUACUGGUUGGCUUGAAUUCGGGAGAGGGAUGCAGAAUUCCAGGUGUAGCGGUGAAAUGCGUAGAUAUCUGGAGGAACACCGGUGGCGAAGGCGGCAUCCUGGACCGACACUGACGCUGAUGCGCGAAAGCCAGGGGAGCAAACG